UUGACACAAAACUUGUCAAGACUCCCCAAGACAUGCCCUCCAACCCCCGGCUGGGAUACCGGGCACCCCACUUUCUUUCACCCACCCCCACAGAAGUACUUUCCCGGAGGUUCCAUGCCGGGAGACUAUCAUACUGCAGGUGGCCCUCCCCGGACGGAGCGCGCACGCGCACGCGCACAGGCGGGGGACUCUCCCGGAGGCCACCUCCGAGCUCCCCCACAUCUCCACCCACGAACCUCGGGCUGGAACCCCGAUUCUGUGAUGCCGUAGUCAUACGUUGCCCCCGAAGGGAACUUGGAGGUUGUGCGUCUUCAGUAAUGGGGAAGGGCGCUGAAAAUCCUAGCUCUCUUUCUGACGGAACUUACACUCUGGCCCCUGGCGAAAGCUACCCGGAGGAGGGGCGCGGUGCGCACACCGGAAGUCACUCUUGCCCACAACAAAUAUGGCUGCAGAGGAGACGGAAGCGCCCACACUUCAGCGCCUCUCUCUCCCCUGGCGGCCUCGCUCUCGAUGGUGGUGUGACCCGGGGACCGGCGGGCGGGGACGCGAUCGCCGGGACGGACGGACGAGCUGUCGGGGGAUUUGUCUCGAAGAGGAGGCUAACCCGUGCAAGUUCAAGCUCGCAGCCCGGGACCUGCAAGACAGAAAGGUCUGCACAUGGUCUGAGUGGUUCCGCAUCCACCGUCUGCUAGUCUUCCCUCCACCUGCCUACCUUAACCUACCCUUUCCCUCUUGGUUGCCUCUUUUUUUUGUACAUGUGUGCCACUCUUGUAGCUUGAACUCAGGGCCUGGGCUCUGUCCCUGAGCUUUUCCACUCCAGGCCACCAUUUGAACCACAGCUUCACUUCUGGCUUUUUGCUGAUCAAGAGACCAGUCUCACCAGCUUUUCUGCUUCACUUACUUUCCAACUGAGAUUCUCAGGUCUUAGCCUCCUGAGGAGCGAGGAUUUCAGGCCUGAGCACCAUCACCUGGCUUUGCCCAUCUGUUCUCUACACAUUAAGAAACAUCAGCCCAGCCGGGUAUGAGCCACUAGCACCCAGCUUCACUGUGUCAUUCUUAUCUCCGCUUAACUGGCAAGACCAGAAGUGGAACUGUGGGUCAAGUGGUAGAGUGCCAGCCUUGAGACAAAAAGCCAAGGGAAGAGAAGCACAGGCCUGGAGUCUAUGCCCCAGUACUGGCACCAAAAGGAAAACAAAACAAAAAACCUAGCAUGAUGCUAGGCAGCAACGUGAAAUGAUUGCAAGAUAACGAGAAGGCAAGGUUUACUAGCGCUUGGGUAGCUCGCUGAUGCUCCCCAAGAUGAGCUCAUUCAUCCAUCCUUUACAACGAGGACAGGGGAGGGGAGAGGGGCACGGGACCCAUCUUUGCCCACCUUUGGGGAAGUGGUUGCACCCUAGUCACACCGGCAUGGAUUGGCCACUCGCGUCCUGGGCCGCGGCCUCUCCACGCAGAGUCCCGCGUCCUGCCGCGACCUCGUGGGUGCCAGGGCAGCUCUGCUGCCUCUCCCUC
Molecule: RNA transcript, 1509 nt
Organism: Dipodomys spectabilis (banner-tailed kangaroo rat)
Lineage: Eukaryota; Metazoa; Chordata; Mammalia; Rodentia; Heteromyidae
Exons: 5
Source: RefSeq, a predicted model, not a curated record